This 273-nucleotide unclassified non-coding RNA is filed under the name Schistocerca americana (American grasshopper). RNAcentral's name for it is "uncharacterized LOC124623633, transcript variant X1". Lineage: Eukaryota; Metazoa; Arthropoda; Insecta; Orthoptera; Acrididae. The record is from RNAcentral.
GUUACGUAUGUCGGCUACGGAGAGAGGCAAGAAAAUUUUCGCAGAAUCAAAGAGCAUAUCAGAUUGAAAGGUCAAAAUACAGCAAGGCAGAAGGGAAUGUUGAGGAUCACCGAGAGGAAGCUAAGUGGCCACACUGGUCAGCAAGCAGGUUAUUCUUGAGUUAACUGAUGAUACAUGGACAAGAGCAGAUGAAUAUCAGAGAAGUGAAGAAUCUGGACGAACAAGUGGUGUAAGAACAGGGCCAAAUGCGCAAGCGCAACCGUUGGAUGCCAG